Myotis myotis is the source of this 1469-nucleotide long non-coding RNA. RefSeq lists it as uncharacterized. The record is from RefSeq and is a predicted model, not a curated record. The transcript has 3 exons. Lineage: Eukaryota; Metazoa; Chordata; Mammalia; Chiroptera; Vespertilionidae.
UUUGACAUACGAGUAAUUUGAGUUACGAGCUCUGUCACGGAACGAAUUAAACUUGUAAGCCAAGGCCCCACUGUAUCAAGCUGAUUUGCCAACCUCUUGCAUUUUUACAUAAUAAAUCUAUCCUUUGAGAGAGAAGGGAAAUGGAAACAUGUUUCUUAAGUUAUCCGAAUCCAGUAUCUGUGUAGCUAGUAUUCACUGGAUAAUACUUCAAAAUGACAACUGAAUUUAUCUUUGGAGAAAUAAUUUUACUGUAAUACCUCCCCAGCUAUCUGGACUAAAAUGGCUAAGCUCAGUUGCAGCGUUAACUUUAAGAGGAGCUCAGCAUCAUAGUCUCCAGAUCCAGAGGGUAUAUUUCCCUUGGCUGCCCCUAGCUAGCUUAAUGCCUCCUAACCCCCUCCAUCCUGGAUGCUGGAUGGAUGGAUGGAUGGAUGGAUGGAUGGACGGAUGGAUGGUACUCAGGAGCCAGGAUGGGAGGUCUCGGGAACUUCUUCAGGGGAACUCAGUGAUGAAAUUGCUCUGAGCAUCACACCUGCCCAUUGUCAAAGUCACUGGAGCCAUAUGUCCGCUGGUCCCGUGUCCCUGUUCUUUUCAUGAUUCCCAGAAUCCUGGUGGCAGCCGUGGAACCAGCACUAGACCAGGCAGGACAUGGGCUUGAAGACCAGCUCUUCCUGUUCCCAGCCAGGGCUGUGUCAAGGAGCAGAUGGGGAGAAGAGAAUGUUGGACGAGCACGAAGUGUAAUUAUUAUAGCGCUGUGCCUACGGGAGACGGAGAGAAGAGGGCGCCCAGGCAGAUAACAAAGACAGAGACAGAAGAAAGUCACAGUUCCAGCAGCAAAUCCUGCCUGCCGUCAGACACAGUCUGAGGCACAGACUCUCACUGGCCCCUGUCCAGGACUCUGCCUCUUCUGAAAGCACAUGGAUUUCAUUGUGACGGAAAUGCUGACACUUAAAGGCUUCUAGGCGCCCUUCCCCCGAGGCGUUUCGCUAAUGUGUACCAGAACUUUUUUUUUUUUUUUUAAGAAAAAAAGAGAGAAAGAAAUGCUUUGCAAAGCAAAGGGUCUGCCUUCGGGCACUUGGAGCACAACUGUCUCCUGUUAAUGGCAACCUCGUUAAGAGAACAGGAAAUGACGUUCGUUGUGCUGGUGCCUUCCAUGGUACCAGCUACCAUUCGUGGGAACACGUGCCCUGUGCCAGGCACUGUGCUGCGUUCGUCUGUGGGUAAUCGCGUUUGCUCAGCACAUAAGGUAGGAGUUUUUUUUGUGUGUAUAUUAUAUAUAUUGAGGAAAUGGAGCCUUAAAGCCUUUAAGCAACUUGCCCAGAUUCACACAGCAAAUAAGUGGUGGAGCCAGAAUUUGAACCCGCAGGGGUCUGACUUCAGGGGCCUCUGCGAAUUAAACGGCACUGAUUAAUUCAUGCCAAGUCUCUAUGACAGUGGUUCUCAACCUUGGCUGCACAUUAGAAUCACCUGGG